RNAcentral lists this ribosomal RNA (254 nucleotides) under uncultured bacterium. Its description in RNAcentral is "partial 16S ribosomal RNA". It matches the Rfam family "Bacterial small subunit ribosomal RNA", at positions 524 to 776 of the family's 1533-position model. The record is from RNAcentral.
UACGUAGGGUGCGAGCGUUGUUCGGAUUUACUGGGCGUAAAGGGCGCGUAGGCGGCCUCUGCAAGUCGACUGCGAAAUCUCCGGGCUUAACCCGGAAAGGUCAGCCGAUACUGCAGGGCUAGAGUGCAGAAGGGGCAACUGGAAUUCUCGGUGUAGCGGUGAAAUUCGUAGAUAUCGGGAGGAACACCGGUGGCGAAGGCGGCGACCUGGGUCGAGACUGACGCUGAGGUGCGAAAGCGUGGGGAGCAAACAGG